RNAcentral lists this ribosomal RNA (478 nucleotides) under uncultured bacterium. RNAcentral's name for it is "partial 16S ribosomal RNA". It matches the Rfam family "Bacterial small subunit ribosomal RNA", at positions 28 to 523 of the family's 1533-position model. The record is from RNAcentral.
GACGAACGCUGGCGGCGUGCUUAACACAUGCAAGUCGAACGGUAAGGCCCUUCGGGGUACACGAGUGGCGAACGGGUGAGUAACACGUGGGUGAUCUGCCCUGCACUUCGGGAUAAGCCUGGGAAACUGGGUCUAAUACCGGAUAGGACCACUGCCUGCAUGGGUGGUGGUGGAAAGCUUUUGCGGUGUGGGAUGGGCCCGCGGCCUAUCAGCUUGUUGGGGGGGUGAUGGCCUACCAAGGCGACGACGGGUAGCCGGCCUGAGAGGGUGACCGGCCACACUGGGACUGAGAGACGGGCCAGACUGCUGCGGGAGGCAGCAGUGGGGAAGAUUGCACGAUGGGCGCAAGCGUGAUGCAGCGGCGCCGCGUGAGGGAUGACGGCCUUCGGGUUGGAAACCUCUUUCAGCACCGACGAAGCGCAAGUGACGGUAGGUGCAGAAGAAGGACCGGCCAACAACGUGCCAGCCGCCGCCGUAA